This is a long non-coding RNA of Gallus gallus (chicken), 2005 nucleotides long. The record is from Ensembl. Lineage: Eukaryota; Metazoa; Chordata; Aves; Galliformes; Phasianidae.
GCAGCAUGAUCAGUUCCCAGUAUCUGUCCCUUUGCAGCAGCUGCUACCAGGAACACUUGAACAGGGAAAGGCUGAAGCCCACUUUGCAGCGAUCCAUGGGCAAGAGAGAACUGAGGAUUUUUAUCAAGAUUCUUUACUGUUGGAUUUGAUAGGAUCCUGUGGAUAGCUAAAAGCAGGAAGCGAAUCAAGAAUGACGAUUAAUAUGAGGGAAGACAGCAGUUGACGGUUUGCUGAGCUGUACAGUUCCUAGCCACCAAGGUACUUACAGACUAAUCUUUAAACAUGUAAGUACACAGCGUGCUUAAACUUAAUGACAUGGUUAAAUACUUACUGAACUGUGAAUUUCAAAUUUAUCAUAAUUUUUUUUCAUUUAGUUAUUUUUUUGAAGACUGGGAAACUUACUUUCACUAUGUCUUAGAAUUUCAUAUUUGUUACUAUUCCAAUAGUAGCAGUAUCAUUUUAAAUCACUUUCAUAUACGAUAAGAUCUGUUAUUAUAAAUUAAGAUGUAUGAGAAUGUGAGAUUGAAUACCUAGGAUUAUAUAUAAUAAAGUAAAUAUUUAAGUAACUUUACAUAAAAAAGACUCACAAAAUAUCCUAUCAAAAUAGAAAUUGUUGUUAUUUUGUAAAUAUUUCUUUCAAAAGUGAUAUUUCAUGUUCACAGGACAUUAACACACAUUUUUGUUUCAUUUCAGAGAUGUGAAUCACAGAGAUUGACUCAAUAAUUAUUUGUAGUUUUCCUAAGCCUUAUUUAUAUACAAUCACCUCUUCAUUCCAGAUGCUCUACAAUUACAGAACAAAAAAAUAGUAUUUAGGGGCAGUCACAAUCUAAAUUAUUAAUUUCAAGAGGUUGGAAGGAUAAUUAGGUAAUGCUACUCUUUCACGUUGCUUGUUAGGCUAGAUUCUUCUGUAGCUUCCACCACUACAAAAUUAUGUUAAGUCUACCUCUUUCACAGUUAAUGUGCAAUAAUAUACAGAUUCUUCUUUUCCUGGUGACUAUAUUGUAUGUUUCUGUAGUUGCAGUACUAAAUUUUGCUUCUUCUAACAACUCUGUCCCAAUUUGUUUCAUUAUUAUUUCUUGUUAUAAACUUUCAUAGCAUUUUCACAAAUGAUUCAUUUUAGCCAGUAUCUACAAGACAGAAUAAAAGUUCAUUCAAAAGCAAAAAAUAAACUUUUCACAGAGCCACAGAAUUACAGAAUUGUAGGGGUUGGUGUAAGAGAUUAUUAUUUUAUAUGAUUGACUCAAAGUUUGCUGAGGAACAAGUCCAGGCAAGUCCUGGGCAAAGGCAGAGAAAUCUUCUGUCUGGAGGACACUGAUGGACAGGUCCUGGCUAAGGGUUGUGAAAUCCUUUAAGGAGCACAGAUGGACAAGUCCAGGGGCAACAACAGAGGGAUAAGGUGCUGGUAAUGGCCGGGAAACGAUAUUUUGUGUGGACUUGUCUCGAGGAAGAUGGCCAUCUCAGGAGGUGCACACAUGACUCUUGCUCAAGCGCUGAGGGAUGUCACAUAGGCAGGAAAAAAAGGAGGAUAAAAGAGGGUCCAACAACCAGGAGAAGAGAGGGGUUUUCUGCCAUCUGAUCUCUCACCACGACACACUGGAGAGGGUUUCUGCCAUCAGAUCCCUCACCACAACGGAGUCGAGGUUUCUGCCAUCAGAUCCUUCACUACGGACCGUAUGCUGACGGACUUCUCUGGGCCUGCUACCUGAGACCUGCUGCUUCCUCCCAGACUUACUCUGCAGCUUCUUCCUGGACCCACCCGGUACCUGCACCUUCUCGUUGCCCAAGACCAGCCUCGCUGCUCCUGCCGUUCGGCCUCGGACAGCCGGAACGUCGUGCAACGGGACUACUGCCGGAUCCUGGUGGUGACUAUCCCCGCUUUACGCAAUUCUUGCUUCUUUCUAUCUUUUCUAUCGCUCGCCUUCCCUUUCCCAUCACCCCAAUCCAUAAUAGUGUCCGUCCUCCCCUUUCUUCAUCUCCCUUAUUAACAUUUGUAAUAAAGUGGUCG